AACGAACGCUGGCGGCGUGCCUAACACAUGCAAGUCGAACGGAAAGGCCCUGCUUUUGUGGGGUGCGCGAGGGGCGAACGGGUGAGUAACACGUGAGUAACCUGCCCUUCACUUUGGGAUAACUUCAGGAAACUGGGCCUAAUACCGGAUAGGAGCUCCCGCUGCAUGGUGGGGGUGGGAUAGUUUCGCCGGUUGGGGAUGGACUCGCGGCUUAUCGGCUUGUUGGUGGGGUAGUGGCUUACCAAGGCCGGGACGGGUAGCCGGCCUGGGAGGGUGACCGGCCACCUUAGGACUGAGAUACGGCCCAGACUCCAACGGUAGGCAACGGUGGGGAGUCUUACACAAUGGGAGGAAGCGUGAUGCGGCAACGCCGCGUGCGGGAUGUCGGCCUUCGGGUUGUGAACCGCAUUCGCCUGUGACGCAGCGUGAGUGACGGUACUGGGUGAAGAAGCACCGGCUAACUACGUG
RNAcentral lists this ribosomal RNA (468 nucleotides) under uncultured bacterium. RNAcentral's name for it is "partial 16S ribosomal RNA". It matches the Rfam family "Bacterial small subunit ribosomal RNA", at positions 28 to 507 of the family's 1533-position model. The record is from RNAcentral.